Molecule: non-coding RNA, 190 nt
Organism: Drosophila takahashii
Lineage: Eukaryota; Metazoa; Arthropoda; Insecta; Diptera; Drosophilidae
Source: RefSeq, a predicted model, not a curated record
AGCCUAUUAAAGAUAUAAAUGACAGUAUGGGAGAGAGUAUAGUACAAGAACAACAUCUUUUAGUGGAAGAUCCAUCGGGCACAUCAGUGGAACGCGAAUUUGAAGGAGUUGAUGCCCAAAGUGAUACAAAGGAAGAGAAUAAGACCAACGCAACUGAGCUCCAACAGAAUAUAGAAACUAGUAUAGAAGA